CCUGAGUACGACGGAGCACGUGAAAUUCCGUCGGAAUCUGGGAGGACCAUCUCCUAAGGCUAAAUACUCUCUAGUGACCGAUAGUGAACCAGUACCGUGAGGGAAAGGUGAAAAGUACCCCGGAAGGGGAGUGAAAGAGAACUUGAAACCGUGUGCUUACAAGUAGUCAGAGCCCGUUAAUGGGUGAUGGCGUGCCUUUUGUAGAAUGAACCGGCGAGUUACGAUCUGAUGCAAGGUUAAGCAGAAAAUGUGGAGCCGUAGCGAAAGCGAGUCUGAAUAGGGCGAAUGAGUAUUUGGUCGUAGACCCGAAACCAGGUGAUCUACCCUUGGUCAGGUUGAAGU
Molecule: ribosomal RNA, 342 nt
Filed under: Staphylococcus pseudintermedius
Lineage: Bacteria; Bacillati; Bacillota; Bacilli; Caryophanales; Staphylococcaceae
Description: partial 23S ribosomal RNA
Rfam family: Bacterial large subunit ribosomal RNA
Source: RNAcentral